CAGGCACAGAUCCGCCGCCCAGGAGACUUCUAUCUUUUGCGUUCCUCUUUCCUGCGCCUCUAGCACGCGGGAUAGGGAAAUUCACCGAUGCCAAAGCCGCGCCGACGACGACGUGAUGGCGGCGGCGCUCGCGAGCUCACCUCCUUCCUUCCCGUCAUCUAGCGCCCACCACCGAUCUCCCCCACCGCGCCCUGACAUAUCCCCUUACGGGAUCCCCUGCCCUGCCGCCCAUGGUUAUGCACUCCGCCGUGCUCGACAACGCUAGAUCCGUGGCCUUGGACGACCUCCCCUCACCAAGUUAUUGGUUCCAGGAACAAUUCGUCCUACCCUCUCUCGUCUGCACUAGAUAGACUCUCUUUUUCUUGUUCGUUUUUAACCGGUCAUCUCUGCAUGUUUCUCUCAGAUCAUGAACCGCAUCGAUAGGUGGUGGAGGUGAGAUAAGAGGAGGAAGGCGAUUGGAGCGCAGUGCGCACCAUAAGCAUUAGCGACUCUGUCCUCGCCUCCUGGUCUAACAAUUCCUCCUGCCUUCUCUUUUAUGUUGUCAUAUCUACUAGCCGUGGUUGCCUUAUAGCACUUCACUUAUAUUGUUAAUUGGUAGUAAAUCACUAGGUUGGAGAACAUCUUUUUCUAAUGUAUCUGAUUCGAGUUUAUGAGAGAAUAAAAAAGCUGCUGCUUGUUAGGAUUGUUUUAGUGAUUGCCGUACUAUCUUUUUGAUGUUCCAUACAUUUUUAACCUGGUACUCAUUCUAUUGAUGUAUCAGUUCGUCGUUUUAUACUGAUAUCUAACUUUGAGACAACUGCAUGUAUGUAGCAGAUUACUCUGUCUUCUAUAUCGUGAUAGUACUACAGUUUAUCUUCUAUAUCAUGACAGAAUGCCUCGCUACUGAAAUAAUCUGUUUAUCUUCCUUCUAUAUCUUGACAUUACUGCAGCACCAAAAUAUACCAUGCCUACCUUUGCUAGCUCACGUAGUGCUCUUGCUGGCUAAUUCAUUGCUCUUAGUAUCCCUUCAACCUCUGUUUAUGCAUUUUUGCAUGUGUCUGCCUUAGGUAGCUUAGUGAGUGUACUUUCUUUUUAAUUAAUUCCUCUUGCUAGUGCCUAACUCUUAUUCACUCUUCCAUGCAUGUGCUUUAUAGAUGGGUAUAUUCCAUGCGUCAACCCUGGCUUCUGCACCCUAGUUGCAUUUUGAGUUUGCUGCACUUUAAACAGCAGCGGCACUGCCUUCUCUGAACUAUGUAAAUCUUCAGUAUUAUCCAUGUGAUUUUAUAGUCAAUGGUGCUAGCCUGCCAGGACAAGCUAUUACAUGUCGGUGUUUGUACUUUUUUUCAAUUGGUUAUGCAUGAUUUGUUGUAUACAUGUUCACCUAAUGUCUUAAUAUAUGUAGUUGGUUUAGAUAUUAGCGUGCCAAAUAUGUGAUUUUAUUUAUGUGAUUUGCUUUAUGUUGGGAAUCACACGGUUUCACGCUACUUCAAAUACGCUCUAUUUGGUCCUGCUUGACUGCGCCAAAACUUAUUUCAGUCCAUCCUUGUUUGGUUGUGUGCGAAAUCGACCAUCCUUGUUUGUGUUGCUCCCUGUUUGGUGCGAAAAUAUGCAGCCAGCUUCAUCUAUCAACUAGCAGUCCAUACAUUGUAGGUCACUGCUAUAUUUUGUUGAUACAAAUGCAAGUGUUGGCUUUUUUUUUCUGCUGAUUGAAACUUUCCUUCAUGUUGAUCUGGGAGGAGAAUGCCCCAGUUGAGGUUGCUGCUCAGGCUCCAGCUCCAACUCCGGUUCUUGGAGAGCCCACGGACUCGAUAUAAAGGGUCUGGAAACAAAGCAGAAAUGAUAGUCGCAUUGUUGGCUCGCCCUUUCUGAAGCUUGUUGUCCAAACCAGAUGGAUCUGUCCUCUACAGGCCUCGCCGUCCGCACAUGUUCCCAGAGCACUAUCAGCCAUGGUCUAUAAACACGAGAAGAUGUUGCGCUUUGACAAACUGAUGCGGUGGGAAACGAGUCUGUAGUGAAAGAAUGUUGCACUUCACUAGCGAACCCGGAGGGAGAAGUGGCGCUCAAGGUCACACAUUAUUUGGGAUACUGCAGUUGAUGUUGAAGCUGGAGUUAUGCUGGGAGACAGUUACUUGAAGCUCUUCGCAUGGUCAACCAGCGCUGCUACGGGAGCUCUAGGUUGAAGAAAUUUGAAGCUCCGGAAUUUGAAGCCUGGAGCUCCACAAAGCAGAUGCUACUUAUAAUUUGGCAUGUUAUAUUGUAGUAAGCAUAUCUGGUUGUAUGAACACUAUGUAAAGUCUGUAGUAAGAAUGCUUGUUACAUUAGAAAAGUUUCUCAUUCUUAUACUGUGAGAAAUAAGAACCUGAUG
Molecule: long non-coding RNA, 2344 nt
Organism: Lolium perenne
Lineage: Eukaryota; Viridiplantae; Streptophyta; Magnoliopsida; Poales; Poaceae
Source: RefSeq, a predicted model, not a curated record